Long non-coding RNA from Astatotilapia calliptera (eastern happy), 1205 nucleotides. NCBI's taxonomy places the organism in Eukaryota, Metazoa, Chordata, Actinopteri, Cichliformes, Cichlidae. The record is from Ensembl.
UUAAAAUUACGUUUUUAAUUAAGAGUUUAAUUCUUUGUCUGUGAAAUCCAUUUUUGAUUUAAGUAUUUAUUAAUAGUAUUGGUAAUUCAUUUUUGAGCUUUAUAAAUAGUGUUAAAAUGUGUUAAAAAUACUGACAAAAAUGAUAAAGAACAUAAAAAUGAAACUGGAAAAUGCAGCACUGAUCCAAAUAAGACAAAAGAUUAAUGCUGCAGGAAAUCAUACUACUGCAAACAGCGGUAUUUUAAAUUGAAUUCGUUCAUUUAACGCCCACAGCAUAAUAAGGACACAUGGAAACAAGAUCAAAUAAUUGAUUGAAAAAAUACCUUUCAUUUGUGUUCUAGUGUAGCUGCAGUUCCACGUGUGAAAGCAACUUAGCAGCAGAUUAAAUUCACUGAAAACAAAAAUACAACCUGACCGACACAGCAGAUAUUGUAUUUCAGGGCUCUAGAGUGCGACCAAUUUGGUCACAAAUGCAACCAAAUUUUUCAGUGGUGCGACUAAAAAAAAAAAUUUGGUUGCACCUGUGCGACCAAAUGUUCGGGUAGCAAAAAAAAAAAAAAAAAAAAAAUCUGCAACCUUCCCUGUGGUCAGCAACAGACACACAUUAUGCCCCUAUCGUGGACUAAACCAAUCAGAGAUAGUAAGGGGCGGGACCUCUCUGAUUGGCCGUGGUCCAGUUGAAAGUGCAGGUGGAAGUGGGAGGUGAGUAGCUUGAAUAAAGCGAUAUCAAUUCAUUAAAUCCUGAAUCGACUUUUAAAUAUAACGGUGUUUUGCCAGAAACGGCAGAUUCUCAGAUUAAAGCUCACCAAACCAUUUCAACAACAACCAAACAGCAAAUGAGAGCAGGUACACGGACUCCACACAGAGACGUAAACACAGAGCGGACCCGACGCAUCAGAAUCAGCUUUGUCUUUCUCGGCUUUCUCACCCGACGGCCCGUAGACGGACACGCUGUCGGAGCUCAACGAUCCUGAUGCGUCCGGUCCGCGCUGUGUUUACGUCUUUUUGCGCUGAUUCUGAGCUGCAGGAUUUGUCUCUCCAACCAAAAUUCACCGAGCUGAAUUUUGCUGUUUUGCUUCCACGACUAUUAAAAUUGCACUUCAUGCACAGCUAGCUCUCUCUCUCUCUGUACUUCAAGAACAGUUUCCCGUCUCCAAUCUCUGUUUUCUGUAUUAUUCAUUGGCUUAUUACCCACCAGUCUACCG